GUAGCAGAAUAGUUUGUUCUUUAAUUGGGAGUUGGUAUGAAGGGUUACACAAAAAAUAUCUUUUAAGUUAAGUAAAGUAAUUUGAAUUUUAAGUUAAAAUGCUUAAAUGAGGUAAAGGGACGAUAAGACCCUAAAAGCUUUAAUUAUCUAUAAUUUUAUUCAAGUUAUUGUAAAUAAUAGUUUGAUGGUAAUAUUAGCUGGGGAAGCGGCUCUAGUAUAAUUAGAGUUUAAAUAGACUUGUAUAUAGGUUUAUGAUCCUUUUUAUAAGGAUAAGUAGAGAAAGUUACUUUAGGGAUAACAGCGCAAUGGUCUUGGAAAGUUCUUAUUUAUAGGAUUAUGUGCGACCUCGAUGUUGAAUUAGAAUGUCUUUAAGGAGUAGAAGACUUAGAAGAGGGUUUGUUCAACCUUUAAAUUUUU
This 417-nucleotide ribosomal RNA is filed under the name Pseudocrangonyx akatsukai. Its description in RNAcentral is "partial 16S ribosomal RNA". Lineage: Eukaryota; Metazoa; Arthropoda; Malacostraca; Amphipoda; Pseudocrangonyctidae. The record is from RNAcentral.